RNAcentral lists this ribosomal RNA (253 nucleotides) under uncultured bacterium. RNAcentral describes it as "partial 16S ribosomal RNA". It matches the Rfam family "Bacterial small subunit ribosomal RNA", at positions 524 to 776 of the family's 1533-position model. The record is from RNAcentral.
UACAGAGGUCUCGAGCGUUAGGCGGAAUCACUGAGCUUAAAGCGUGUGUAGGCGGAUCGUUAAGUGCCUUGUGAAAUCCCACGGCUCAACCGUGGAACUGCUUGGCAUACUGGCGGUCUUGAGCAACCUAGGGGCGAGCGGAACAAAUGGUGGAGCGGUGAAAUGCGUAGAUAUCAUUUGGAACGCCAAUGGUGAAAACAGCUCGCUGGGGGUUUGCUGACGCUGAGACACGAAAGCCAGGGGAGCAAACGGG